Molecule: ribosomal RNA, 1377 nt
Filed under: Enterococcus durans
Lineage: Bacteria; Bacillati; Bacillota; Bacilli; Lactobacillales; Enterococcaceae
Description: bacterial SSU rRNA
Rfam family: Bacterial small subunit ribosomal RNA
Source: RNAcentral
GGAGCUUGCUCCACCGGAAAAAGAAGAGUGGCGAACGGGUGAGUAACACGUGGGUAACCUGCCCAUCAGAAGGGGAUAACACUUGGAAACAGGUGCUAAUACCGUAUAACAAUCGAAACCGCAUGGUUUUGAUUUGAAAGGCGCUUUCGGGUGUCGCUGAUGGAUGGACCCGCGGUGCAUUAGCUAGUUGGUGAGGUAACGGCUCACCAAGGCCACGAUGCAUAGCCGACCUGAGAGGGUGAUCGGCCACAUUGGGACUGAGACACGGCCCAAACUCCUACGGGAGGCAGCAGUAGGGAAUCUUCGGCAAUGGACGAAAGUCUGACCGAGCAACGCCGCGUGAGUGAAGAAGGUUUUCGGAUCGUAAAACUCUGUUGUUAGAGAAGAACAAGGAUGAGAGUAACUGUUCAUCCCUUGACGGUAUCUAACCAGAAAGCCACGGCUAACUACGUGCCAGCAGCCGCGGUAAUACGUAGGUGGCAAGCGUUGUCCGGAUUUAUUGGGCGUAAAGCGAGCGCAGGCGGUUUCUUAAGUCUGAUGUGAAAGCCCCCGGCUCAACCGGGGAGGGUCAUUGGAAACUGGGAGACUUGAGUGCAGAAGAGGAGAGUGGAAUUCCAUGUGUAGCGGUGAAAUGCGUAGAUAUAUGGAGGAACACCAGUGGCGAAGGCGGCUCUCUGGUCUGUAACUGACGCUGAGGCUCGAAAGCGUGGGGAGCAAACAGGAUUAGAUACCCUGGUAGUCCACGCCGUAAACGAUGAGUGCUAAGUGUUGGAGGGUUUCCGCCCUUCAGUGCUGCAGCUAACGCAUUAAGCACUCCGCCUGGGGAGUACGACCGCAAGGUUGAAACUCAAAGGAAUUGACGGGGGCCCGCACAAGCGGUGGAGCAUGUGGUUUAAUUCGAAGCAACGCGAAGAACCUUACCAGGUCUUGACAUCCUUUGACCACUCUAGAGAUAGAGCUUCCCCUUCGGGGGCAAAGUGACAGGUGGUGCAUGGUUGUCGUCAGCUCGUGUCGUGAGAUGUUGGGUUAAGUCCCGCAACGAGCGCAACCCUUAUUGUUAGUUGCCAUCAUUCAGUUGGGCACUCUAGCAAGACUGCCGGUGACAAACCGGAGGAAGGUGGGGAUGACGUCAAAUCAUCAUGCCCCUUAUGACCUGGGCUACACACGUGCUACAAUGGGAAGUACAACGAGUCGCGAAGUCGCGAGGCUAAGCUAAUCUCUUAAAGCUUCUCUCAGUUCGGAUUGUAGGCUGCAACUCGCCUACAUGAAGCCGGAAUCGCUAGUAAUCGCGGAUCAGCACGCCGCGGUGAAUACGUUCCCGGGCCUUGUACACACCGCCCGUCACACCACGAGAGUUUGUAACACCCGAAGUCGGUG